AAAAAGGUCCUUUUCAGGACCACCGACAAUUGUUAAAGAAUAGUUCU
Non-coding RNA from Anopheles atroparvus, 47 nucleotides. Lineage: Eukaryota; Metazoa; Arthropoda; Insecta; Diptera; Culicidae. The record is from Rfam.